GUCGGACCAAAAGAAAAGCUGAUAUCUGAUUAUGCCUUCCUUGACCCAACAGAAGAACGACCUUUGACUGAACAACUGUUUGAGUAUGCUGGAUAUUACUUGAAUAGAGAAACAUUCCAGUCUAUGAGAGCCGGAGAGCUAGAAAGUAUUAUUGUAGAUGUUUGGUGUCUACGACUAAAUCAGCUGGAUCUCAACAGACGCCUUGAUAAGCCCAAGCGAAUAUUCUUCUCAACCCAGGCUUUUCUCCAACUAGACAGCCCCACAAAUUGGGAAAGGGAUGAAAAUACA
Ipomoea triloba (trilobed morning glory) is the source of this 288-nucleotide long non-coding RNA. RefSeq lists it as uncharacterized. The transcript has 3 exons. The record is from RefSeq and is a predicted model, not a curated record. NCBI's taxonomy places the organism in Eukaryota, Viridiplantae, Streptophyta, Magnoliopsida, Solanales, Convolvulaceae.